GGCCCCUAAACUGGUAGAAUUUUGACAAACAAUUCUAACAGUAAAUGAUGGGUAAAUUUAGAAAGGCUUAGCAAUUCGCAACAUACUAAAAUGGUGAUUAGACUACGUCAUGUUAACCACCCAAAGACUAACUACCGUCCAUCACCACACGUGAGCCUAAUCACCCAAAGACUAACUACCGUCCAUCUCCGCACGUGAGCCUGAUCACCCAAAGACUAACUACCGUCCAUCACCACACGUGAGCCUGAUCACCCAAAGACUAACUACCAUCCAUCUCCGCACGUGAGCCUGAUCACCCAAAGACUAACUACCGUCCAUCUCCACACGUUUCUGUUCCCAAAGAAUUUCUGGAAACUUGUGACCUGCCAGUUUCAGUCCUGGAGAAAGACAACUGUUGCCAGUGAACUCAAUUUCCUUUCAUAACUUGCUUCUGUCACCUAAAAUCCAAAUUCUUGGACUUGGGUUGGAAAUGAGGCACUGGUAAUCUGAGAAAAAGUUUUCUCAAUGUCUGUUUUAGUAAGAAUGUGGAAGAACCUUAGUUCCAAAUGUUUCCACUCUGGAAAUCACACAGGGCAAUAAGGAAAGUGCAGAAACACCCUGCAUAUGACCAUGAUGGAGCUAAAGGACAAACAGAGCAUCACCACGAAGCCUGCAGAUGCUAACAAACAACAAGCAACACUACCAAAAAGCUCCAUGCACAAAACUGACAACUCGGGUGAAAUGAACCAAUUCUUUGAGAUUCAAAAAGCUACUAAAACUCACUUAAGAUGAAAUAGUUAGCCUGAACUGUCCGAUACUAUUAUAGAUGUUGAAGUUGAGGAAAAAGAGAUCUCCAAUCUCAGAAAGUUUCACUGGCAAAUGUCACUGAGCAUUUAAAGAAAUAGCGCCUAUUCUACAGAAUCUUUCCAGAAAAUCAAAGAGGAAAGAACACCUCCCCAUGCAUUUUAUGAGAUCAACAUUACCCCAAUAUCAACACGAAAGAUGGUACCCAAAAAAGAGAAAAAAGGGAGAAACCUAGAGAUCGAUAUCCUGCAUGAAUAUAGAUGCAAAAAUUCUCCACAAAAUAGUAGCAAACUGAUUCCAGUAAUAUCUAAAAAUAAUAAGUGAGAUUUAUCCUUAGAAUGAAAGACUGGUACCAUAUUUCGAAAGCUUUAAGUGUAAUCAACUAUAUUAACAGUCUAAAGAAAAAAAUAUAUGAUUAUAUCAAUUGAUACAGAAAAAGCAUUUGACAAAAUUAAAUACCUCUUCACAGUAAAAACCUGUAUGUGAGUGUUUAUAGAAUUCUUCACAAUGGCAAAGUACUGGAAACAACCCAAAUGUCUUUCAGCAGGUAAAUGGAUAAAUAAACUCUGGUAUGUACAUGUAUAUAAUGGAAUACUACUCAGCAAUAAAGAGGAACCAACUAUUAUGACAUGCAACAACUUAGAUGAAUCUCAAAGGCAUUAUGCUGAGUGAAAGAAUCCAGUCUCAAGAGUUUACAUACUGUAUGAUUCCAAUAAUAUGACAUUCUCUAAAUGACAAAUUAUGGUGGCAGAGAACAGAUCAAAGUUGCCAGGGGUUAAAGGUGUAGGAGGGUGUGACUAUAAAGACAUAGAACAGAGCAGAUUUUUGGGGUGAUGGAAAAGUUUUGUGUAUUGAUUGUAGUAGUUACACAAAUAUGUGUUAAUAUUUGUGGAAUAUGAAAUUUUACAUAUUGGGAUUUUAUAUACCCCCCAAAGUUCAAUUUUACCGUAUAAUAAUCUUUAAAAUAAUACUAAUAAAAACAUGGUAUAGCUCCACGUUCAGCAAGGAAAAUAAAUCUUUAAGAAACAAAGAAAUCAUACAAAUUCCAUAUGAUAUGGCCAAAAGCAAUUGAGAUAAACAAAAUCUUCAUGGGAAUCCUUGAUAAAGCAUUGAGUUUAUAGGGAAGAAUGAGCAGUGUCCAGAGGACCUCGUUGUAGAAGAUACUAGAAAUUACCAUCAAUAUUCAUUUUCAAAAGGAGAGGGCACUACUUUGAGUGAGCAGGACUGAGAAUAAAUAGGAAUAAUUACUGAGGGAGCUGGAGAAUAUGUCAUGGAACAUGCAGAGAUGGGGGGACAAAGGCGGUAGAUCUCAGAAAGUACUAUUUUUUUUUUUUUUAAAGAUUUUAUUAUUUCCUUUUUCUCCCCAAAGCCCCCUGGUACAUAGUUGUAUAUUAUUCGUUGUGGGUUCUUCUAGUUGUGGCAUGUGGGACGCUGUCCUCAGCGUGGUUUGAUGAGCAGUGUCAUGUCCGCGCCCAGGAUUCGAACCAACGAAACACUGGGCCGCCUGCAGCGGAGCGCGUGAACUUAACCACUCGGCCACGGGGCCAGCCCCAGAAAGUACCACUUUUUAAAAGGGAAGAGAUGGUUUUUUCUCUGGGUAACCAUUACAGUGAAGAAACCACCACUUCCACCCACAUUUCAUCAGUCAAAACCAGUCAUAUGGGCUUAACUUCUGGGGGAAGUAGACAUCCACCAUGGGCACAAAUGACCAUCAUAGUCCACCACCCUGGUAGUUAAUUCAGGCCACUUUCCUUCCUGCAUGCACAACACACCCAGCCUCUCUCUGAGAGCCCACCCAGUCAUGGGACCAAAGACAAACUCCAGUAUCUCUGCUGUGGGGUUGUUUCUUCAUCAGGGGAUGGUUCACAGUGAUCUCUAUGUCAAGCCCAAUUGUGGCUCCUCUUAAUCUGGAAACUUAUGAAUCAAAUGUCAACAUAUCUGCCUUCUACUCCAAACUACAAAGGAUAGUGAAGAAACUCUCCAAGAAAGAAAGGGAAAUGAAGGGAGAUACUCUGAAGACAGUGGCCCAAAGCUACAUAUACAAGAAAAAGAGUCUGAGAGGAGUAUGGUUUCUUUCAUAAAAUGUGUGUAUGAAAAUUUAUUAAUAAUGUAUUCCUAAUGCACUGAAGUAAAUUAGAUCAAGAUUUCUGGAGGUCAACAUGGCAAAAUGUAGCAAAGGCUUUAAAAACAGUCAUUCUCUGAGAUUUAGUAUUUUUGCUUCUAAUAGUUUAUCCUGAGUAAAUAAUCAGAGGAUGCAGAAAUAUUUACAGACACAAGAAUGUUCAUUGCAGACUUAUUUAUAGUAACAAAAAUUAAAAACAACUGAAAUAAUAUCCACAGGAUAAAAAUAAAAUUAUUACACACUUAUGAAUAGGAAUGUUUUUCAGCUCUUAAGGAUUACUUGAUGACAUGGGGACAUGCUCGUGGGGAAAGGUGAAUUAAAAAUUGUCCUUACACCUUGAAGGCGUUAUGCUAAGUGAAAUAAGUCAGAUAGGGAAAGAUAAAUUCUGUAUGAUCUCACUUUUAUGUGGAUUCUAAAAAAAAAACCAAGCUCAAAUAUAUAGAGAAGAGAAGAAGAUAUGGGUGGUUGCCAGAGGCAGGGGAUGGACAUAGUGGGUGAAGGGGGUCAAAAGGUACGAACUUCCAGUUAUAAAAUAAAUAAGUCACGGUGAUGUGACAUACAGCGUGGUGCCUAUAGGUAAUAAUACUGCAUUGCACUUUUGAAAGUUCUCAACACAAGAAAAAUGUGACUAUGUAUGGUGAUGGAUGUUAACUAGACUCAUGUGGUGAUCAUUUCACAAUGUAUACAAAUAUUGAAUCAUUAUGUUGUACACCUGAAACAAAUACGAUGUUAUGUCAAUUAUAC
This is a long non-coding RNA of Equus asinus (donkey), 3649 nucleotides long. Lineage: Eukaryota; Metazoa; Chordata; Mammalia; Perissodactyla; Equidae. The record is from Ensembl.